UAAUACGGAGGAUGCAAGCGUUAUCCGGAUUCAUUGGGUUUAAAGGGUGCGUAGGCGGGCUAUUAAGUCAGUGGUGAAAUCCUGCAGCUUAACUGCAGAACUGCCGUUGAUACUGAUAGUCUUGAGUUUGGUUAAGGUAGGCGGAAUGUGUAAUGUAGCGGUGAAAUGCUUAGAUAUUACACAGAACACCAAUUGCGUAGGCAGCUUACUGAGCCGACACUGACGCUGAGGCACGAAAGCGUGGGGAUCAAACAGGAUUAGAUACCCUGGUAGUCCACGCCGUAAACGAUGAUUACUCGCUGUUGGCGAUACACUGUCAGCGGCUAAGCAAAAGCAAUAAGUAAUCCACCUGGGGAGUACGGCCGCAAGGUUGAAACUCAAAGGAAUUGACGGGGGCCCGCACAAGCGGAGGAACAUGUGGUUUAAUUCGAUGAUACGCGAGGAACCUUACCUGGGCUUAAAUGUAGAGUGCAUUUUCUAGAGAUAGAAAUUCCCUUCGGGGCUUUCUGCAAGGUGCUGCAUGGUUGUCGUCAGCUCGUGCCGUGAGGUGUCGGGUUAAGUCCCAUAACGAGCGCAACCCUUAUCGUUAGUUGCCAGCUGGUAAAGCAGGGGACUCUAGCGAAACUGCCACCGUAAGGUGAGAGGAAGGUGGGGAUGACGUCAAAUCAGCACGGCCCUUAUGUCCAGGGCUACACACGUGUUACAAUGGCCGGUACAGAGGGCUGCUACCUGGUGACAGGAUGCUAAUCUCGAAAACCGGUCUCAGUUCGGAUCGAAGUCUGCAACUCGACUUCGUGAAGCCGGAUUCGCUAGUAAUCGCGCAUCAGCAACGGCGCGGUGAAUACGUUCCCGGGCCUUGUACACACCGCCCGUCAAGCCAUGGAAGCUGGGGGUGCCUGAAGUCCGUAACCGCAAGGAGCGGCCUAGGGUAAAACUAGUGACUGGGGCU
Molecule: ribosomal RNA, 949 nt
Filed under: uncultured bacterium
Lineage: Bacteria
Description: bacterial SSU rRNA
Rfam family: Bacterial small subunit ribosomal RNA
Source: RNAcentral